Molecule: long non-coding RNA, 1152 nt
Filed under: Pan troglodytes (chimpanzee)
Lineage: Eukaryota; Metazoa; Chordata; Mammalia; Primates; Hominidae
Description: lncRNA (ENSPTRG00000053586.1)
Source: RNAcentral
CCCCAAGCAAAGUCCCCCUGAGAGGAAAAAAUCACACCACAUCUUUGUGGAUCAGUGGUGCCUCUGCCUCCACCCAAGACACCGGGCAUGUUUCCUCAUGAAUAGUGACUUGUGGCUCCUUCGCAGCACUGAGGGCUGGAGCCAGAAGAAGGAUGAACUCACUGCGGGGGUCUUCUCUCUUCAUGUUGGAAAACAGAUUUAGGCUCAAAAUGAAGGAGGGUUUUUGCACAGUCAGCACCACCCAUUGAUGAGUUCGUGGUCCCAGGAGGUAAUGAGUGCUCCAUCAUUGGGAGCAUUCAAGCUGAGGUUAGCCCACUAUUGGGAGGGAUAUUAUAGACAGGACUCAGGUAAGGGGACAGAGCAUUGACCUAGAUGAAAUUUGAGGUCCCCCUUCCAACCCUGAGAGCCUCUAAAUCUCUGACAUCUCCAUCCCAGCCCUUGCUGCCAAUUGGCCUCAUUCGCCUGGCCCUGCUGGUUUGCCAGGCAGUUUGUCCUCAGGGAGAAGUAGCUGCCAAUUAUGUGGGGACCACAAGAGUUUCCUUUAUGAUAUCACCACUCUGCAGGAAGGGGCUGAGGUGGGGUAAGAGAGGAGAAACAAGACAGAAGGUGGCACCAGAGAAGGAGUCAGCUCCCCAGGGCCUGGAAUCUGCAGUGUUGCCACCACUAGGUCCCAUGAUGAAGACCAGAGCAUGCAAACUCCUGGAGCCUGCGGCCAGUGCACAGCAGGAGGACGACACAGGACAUUGGGGCAUUUUGGGGGAUCGUGUGCAUGGUGACAACUGCAGGACUGUGAACUGUAUCCCUGCUCUUCCUCUAACUUGAACCCUCUCUGUGAUAACAUAGAACCUCAAAAACCCAUUCCUUGUGCAUUAGUCAAUAUCACACUAUGGACUUCCUGUUCCAGGUUGGUAAUAUUCCCUUUUCACAGAUGAGACAAUUGAGGCUCAGAGAGGUUGGUAAUCUGCCUGAAUUCACACAGAUAUUAAGGAGCGAGCCAAGAUGGGAACCUAGAUGUAUCUAUCUGCAAAGCCUUUGCUCUUAACCAUCAGCGCUCUUACUGAGAAGGGGAGGUCAUCGCCUCUCCCCAAGCUGACUUACAGGACUGGAAUCACAGGGCAGUGAACACCCAAAGCCUGAACGACUCCAACAAAC